RNAcentral lists this ribosomal RNA (382 nucleotides) under uncultured eukaryote. Its description in RNAcentral is "partial 18S ribosomal RNA". It matches the Rfam family "Eukaryotic small subunit ribosomal RNA", at positions 592 to 976 of the family's 1831-position model. The record is from RNAcentral.
CAAUAGCGUAUAUUAAAGUUGUUGCAGUUAAAAAGCUCGUAGUUGGACUUCUGCGGGUGGCGGCCGGUCGUGCUCGAAACGGGCGUGAACUUGGCGUGCUGCCCGCAUCUUUGGGAAGAUUGUGCGUGGCAUUAAGUUGUCGUGCAUGGGAUUCUCAUCAUUUACUGUGAAAAAAUUAGAGUGUUUAAAGCAGGCCUUUGCCUUGAAUACAUUAGCAUGGAAUAAUAAGAUAGGACCGUUGUCUAUUUUGUUGGUUUACAGAUGUCGGUAAUGAUUAAUAGGGAUAGUUGGGGGUAUUCGUAUUCAGUUGUCAGAGGUGAAAUUCUUGGAUUUUCGGAAGACGCACGACUGCGAAAGCAUUUACCAAGGAUGUUUNCAUUAA